GGCGGCGGCGGCGCGGGCACCCGGCCCCCCAGCGGGAGGAUGAAGCGGCGGAACGCCGACUGCAGUAAGCUCCGCCGCCCCCUAAAGCGGAACCGGAUCACCGAGGGCAUUUACGGCAGUACAUUUUUAUACCUGAAAUUCCUGGUGGUGUGGGCACUUGUCCUCCUAGCAGAUUUUGUCCUGGAGUUCAGAUUUGAAUACCUGUGGCCAUUCUGGCUUUUCAUCAGAAGCGUCUAUGAUUCCUUCAGAUACCAGGGACUGGCCUUCUCAGUAUUUUUUGUUUGUGUAGCAUUCACGUCAAAUAUAAUAUGCCUGCUGUUCAUCCCCAUACAGUGGCUUUUUUUUGCUGCUAGCACAUAUGUAUGGGUUCAGUACGUAUGGCACACAGAAAGGGGAGUGUGUUUGCCUACAGUGUCUCUCUGGAUCCUCUUUGUUUAUAUUGAAGCAGCCAUUAGAUUUAAAGAUCUCAAAAACUUUCAUGUAGACCUUUGUCGUCCAUUUGCUGCUCACUGUUACGUAAGCUACAAAAUGCGGUUAAGGAAGCAAAAAGAAGUACAAAAAGAGAACGAGUUUUACAUGCAACUUCUUCAACAAGCUCUCCCUCCAGAGCAACAGAUGCUACAGAAGCAAGAAAAAGAGGCCGAGGAAGCAGCCAAAGGAUUACCUGAUAUGGAUUCUUCGAUCCUUAUACACCACAAUGGAGGUAUCCCAG
RNAcentral lists this long non-coding RNA (712 nucleotides) under Homo sapiens (human). RNAcentral describes it as "long non-coding RNA NONHSAT148558.1". Lineage: Eukaryota; Metazoa; Chordata; Mammalia; Primates; Hominidae. The record is from RNAcentral.